AUGCCCCUGGACAUCACCAAGCACUUCGUCGCGGUGCCAACAGAGUUCAAGCUCAAGAACAACACCAGCUGCUCCUGGAAGGUGACGGUGAAGCUGAUGAACGGCAGGGUGACCCUGGAUCAAGGUUGGGCCACCUACGCCGCCGUUCACCAGAUCAAGAUCGGCUACAUGAUGACGUUCAAGCUCCUGACUCCGGACACCCUCAAGGUCAUCAUCUUCGACGAUGAUGGCAUUGAGGUGGUCAACAAGUGCAGGAAGCAUGACGAAGCCUUCGCCGCCAAGGAGUAG
Molecule: ribosomal RNA, 288 nt
Filed under: Triticum aestivum (bread wheat)
Lineage: Eukaryota; Viridiplantae; Streptophyta; Magnoliopsida; Poales; Poaceae
Description: partial small subunit ribosomal RNA
Source: RNAcentral